UUCUGAAUUCAAUAAUAAAUUUUCCUUGUUUACUGGGAUUAUCCCGUAUUAUUCAUAGUAGUGAAAUUACUGUGUUUAAUAAUUUAUGUAUUAAACGUCACUGAUAACAAUUAUAUUUAUCUCAAUGAAUAUAAAAUAUGAUAUUUGAUUGUUUAAGAAAAAAUUAUCCUUUUGUAAUUUUUAUUUGACUAUUUCAUUUAAUUUUUUUAUAAAUUACAAUUAAACAAAAUAAUUAAUUUAUUAUAUAAUAAGUCCGUGUUGUGUAAUUAUACAUACAUUAUAUAAUUCUUAUGCUGUUAAGAAUUGACUAUCUGAUAUCUAGUAUAAAGAAGAAAACAUUUGCUUGAUAUUCUAAGUUAAAUAUUUGGAUCGAACUGUCCUCAAUAUAGAAUGCAAUUGAGCACUAUAAAUAAGUUAUUUUGAUGAUAUAAAUACAAAUUUAUAAAAAAAUCGAAGUCACAAAGAUUUUAAAAAUUAUUUGCCUAUAAAUGAUAAUGAAAAAUAUUCUGCAAAAGUUACAUGCAGUUAUUUUAAUGCUGUGGGGAAUCCCACACUUAUAUGCGCGGUUAUAAAUUCUAUGCAUGAAUAUUUAGUCACUGUUUGUCACUGAUGAGUUUGGAUAUCCCCGCCAAGAUCACAUUUGGUAAUAUUUCGGACAGAGAAGGGGAAUAUUGAAGAAAAAUGCUUGUGGU
Apis cerana (Asiatic honeybee) is the source of this 692-nucleotide long non-coding RNA. RefSeq lists it as uncharacterized. NCBI's taxonomy places the organism in Eukaryota, Metazoa, Arthropoda, Insecta, Hymenoptera, Apidae. The record is from RefSeq and is a predicted model, not a curated record.